This 517-nucleotide ribosomal RNA is filed under the name Simulium novemarticulatum. RNAcentral describes it as "partial 16S ribosomal RNA". It matches the Rfam family "Bacterial large subunit ribosomal RNA", at positions 1819 to 2601 of the family's 2925-position model. Lineage: Eukaryota; Metazoa; Arthropoda; Insecta; Diptera; Simuliidae. The record is from RNAcentral.
GUCUUUUUAGUAUAUUAAUAUAAAGUCUGACCUGCCCACUGAAUAAAGUUUGAAGGGCCGCAGUAUUUUGACUGUGCAAAGGUAGCAUAAUCAUUAGUCUUUUAAUUGAAGGCUGGUAUGAAUGGUUGGAUGAGAUACAAGCUGUGUCAUAAAAAUUAAAUUUUGAAUUUAACUUUUUAGUCAAAAGGCUAAAAUAAUUUUAAAAGACGAGAAGACCCUAUAGAGCUUUAUAUAAUAAUUAUUUAAAUUAUUAAGAUUUAUUAAAUUUAACUUUUGUGUUAUAUUUUGUUGGGGUGACAAUAAAAUUUAUAAAACUUUUAUUUUUAUUUAACAUUAAUUUAUGAUUACAUGAUCCAGUUUUAUUGAUUAUAAAUUUAAGUUACCUUAGGGAUAACAGCGUAAUUUUUUUUGAGAGUUCUUAUCGACAAAAAAGAUUGCGACCUCGAUGUUGGAUUAAGAGUAAUUUUGGGUGUAGAAGUUCAAAGUUUAAGUCUGUUCGACUUUUAAAUUCUUACAU